CCUCGCUGUAAUAUGAAGUGGGGUGUCACCGUUUGAAUUUUUUUUGUACACAAGUGAUGGUAUCAAAUUCGUGAUCAUUGCCGCUAUCUCCUUCCGUUUGAAUUUUGCUGCAACAUGGAGAAUGGUGUCUUGUUGCAGGGAUGUAACCUGGAGCAGGAUAUUUGCAUCAGAGGAGGUGAGUCUCCUGAAGAAAUCCCGAUCAUC
RNAcentral lists this unclassified non-coding RNA (204 nucleotides) under Hevea brasiliensis (rubber tree). Lineage: Eukaryota; Viridiplantae; Streptophyta; Magnoliopsida; Malpighiales; Euphorbiaceae. The record is from RNAcentral.